This 825-nucleotide ribosomal RNA is filed under the name uncultured organism. RNAcentral describes it as "SSU rRNA". It matches the Rfam family "Bacterial small subunit ribosomal RNA", at positions 639 to 1471 of the family's 1533-position model. The record is from RNAcentral.
UUCUUGAGUAGUGCAGAGGUAGGCGGAAUUCCCGGUGUAGCGGUGGAAUGCGUAGAUAUCGGGAGGAACACCAGUGGCGAAGGCGGCCUACUGGGCACCAACUGACGCUGAGGCUCGAAAGUGUGGGUAGCAAACAGGAUUAGAUACCCUGGUAGUCCACACCGUAAACGAUGAUUACUAGGUGUUGGAGGAUUGACCCCUUCAGUGCCGCAGUUAACACAAUAAGUAAUCCACCUGGGGAGUACGACCGCAAGGUUGAAACUCAAAGGAAUUGACGGGGGCCCGCACAAGCAGUGGAGUAUGUGGUUUAAUUCGACGCAACGCGAAGAACCUUACCAAGUCUUGACAUCCUGCGACGCACAUAGAAAUAUGUGUUUCCUUCGGGACGCAGAGACAGGUGGUGCAUGGUUGUCGUCAGCUCGUGUCGUGAGAUGUUGGGUUAAGUCCCGCAACGAGCGCAACCCUUAUGGUCAGUUACUACGCAAGAGGACUCUGGCCAGACUGCCGUUGACAAAACGGAGGAAGGUGGGGAUGACGUCAAAUCAUCAUGCCCUUUAUGACUUGGGCUACACACGUACUACAAUGGCGUUAAACAAAGAGAAGCAAGACCGCGAGGUGGAGCAAAACUCAGAAACAACGUCCCAGUUCGGACUGCAGGCUGCAACUCGCCUGCACGAAGUCGGAAUUGCUAGUAAUCGUGGAUCAGCAUGCCACGGUGAAUACGUUCCCGGGCCUUGUACACACCGCCCGUCACACCAUGAGAGCCGGGGGGACCCGAAGUCGGUAGUCUAACCGCAAGGAGGACGCCGCCGAAGGUAAAACUGG